GUGGGCGAGCGGUCGCGGGUGCUGGCCUAUGACGCAUUCCUCGAAGCCAACAGGGCCAACUGGCUGGGCAACGAGAUCCGUCAUUACUGGAAACGCGUGCUCAAGCGCAUCGANNNNNNNNNNNUGACGCUGGUGGAGCCCGGCUCCUGCUUCGUCGGCACGCUGGCGGAACUCGUGUUCGCAUCCGACCGCUCCUACAUGCUGAUCGGCGAGAAGCAGGGCGACAACCGCGCGCCGGCGGAGAUCAUUCUCUCGCCCGCGAACUUC
Molecule: unclassified non-coding RNA, 267 nt
Filed under: Hevea brasiliensis (rubber tree)
Lineage: Eukaryota; Viridiplantae; Streptophyta; Magnoliopsida; Malpighiales; Euphorbiaceae
Source: RNAcentral